AUGGAGAUCUUAAAGUGAUACACAGGGGAGGUGGUGUGUAAGCAAUAACAAAGGUAUAUAAAUAUGCAAUUGUUAUUGCUUACACACCACCUCCCCUGUGUAUCACUUUAAGAUCUCCAUAU
This is a non-coding RNA of Pelobates cultripes (western spadefoot toad), 122 nucleotides long. Lineage: Eukaryota; Metazoa; Chordata; Amphibia; Anura; Pelobatidae. The record is from the annotation of a GenBank genome assembly.